CCUACGGGGGACAGCAGUGGGGAAUUUUGCGCAAUGCUCGUAAGAGUGACUCAGCGACGCCGCGUUAAUUACGAAGGCCUUCGAGUCGUAAAGUUCUUUCGACAGGGAAGAAAAUGCCUAUAAGUAACUGUGUAUGUAUUUACGGUACCUGACUAAGCAUCCCCGGCUAACUCCGUGCCAGCAGCCGCUGUAAUACGGAGGGGGCGAGCGUUGUUCGGCGUGACUGGACGUAAAGAGCACGUAGGCGGUGUUGUAAGUAAUUAGGCAAAGACUAGAGCUCAACUUUAGUAAGGAUAGUGAUAAUAUAAUACUAGAGUAUCAGAGAGGAUGGCAGAAUUCCUGGUGUAGCGGUGAAAUGCGUAGAUAUCAGGAGGAAUACCGUUAGCGAAGGCGGCAAUCUGGCUGGAAACUGACGCUGAGGUGCGAAAGCGUGGGUAGCAAACAGGAUUAGAUACCCCGGUAGUC
Molecule: ribosomal RNA, 465 nt
Filed under: uncultured bacterium
Lineage: Bacteria
Description: partial 16S ribosomal RNA
Rfam family: Bacterial small subunit ribosomal RNA
Source: RNAcentral